Etheostoma spectabile (orangethroat darter) is the source of this 781-nucleotide long non-coding RNA. RefSeq lists it as uncharacterized. The record is from RefSeq and is a predicted model, not a curated record. The transcript has 2 exons. Lineage: Eukaryota; Metazoa; Chordata; Actinopteri; Perciformes; Percidae.
GGACAAACAGCAUGUUAAUAUUUUGUAGAAAAGCCAUUAUUGGCCAGCACAGAUGUCAAACGGUUUUUAUAGUUGGUGACAAGGUUUGUGCACAUUUCGGCAGGGAUGUUGUCGCCUGGCAACUCGAAUUUUAAGCUCCCUCCAAAGAUUUUCAAUUGGAUUCAGGUCUGGAGACUGGCUAGGCCACUCCAGAACCUUGAUGUGCUUCUUCAGCCACACUUUUGUUGCUUUGGCGGUGUGCUUAGGGUCGUUGUCGUGCUGAAACACCCAUCCUCGACCCAUCUUCAGCUCUCUCCCUGAGGAAAGGAGAUGUUGGUCCAGAAUUCCACGAUACAUGGCCCCGUCCAUCCUCCCCUCAAUACGAUGGAGUUGUCCCGUCCCCUUGGCUGAAAAGCACCCCCAAAGCAUGAUGUUGCCACCACCAUGCUUGACGGUGGGGAUGGUGUUCUUUGGGUUGUACUCGGUGUUCUUUGCCCUCCAAACACGACGAGUUGAGUUGAGGCCAAAAAGUUCUAUUUUGGUCUCAUCUGACCACAUCACCUUCUUCCAGGCCUCUUCUGAGUCGUCCAGGUGGUGAAUGGCGAACUUCAUGCAGGCCUGUACAUGUUUCUUCUUGAGCAGGGGGACCUUGCGUGCGCUGCAAGAUUUCAAUCCAUGACGGCGUAGUGUGUUACCAAUCGUUUCUUUUGUAACUGUGGUCCCAGCUGCCUUCAGUUGAUUCAUCAGUUCCCCCCUUGUGGUUUUGGGAUGAUUCCUCACCGUUCGCAUGAUCAGGGACACC